Molecule: long non-coding RNA, 777 nt
Organism: Oncorhynchus keta (chum salmon)
Lineage: Eukaryota; Metazoa; Chordata; Actinopteri; Salmoniformes; Salmonidae
Exons: 4
Source: RefSeq, a predicted model, not a curated record
CAGGAGUGAACACACGACAGGAGUGAACACACGACAGGAGAAGACGACAGGAGAAGACGACAGGAGUGAACACACGACAGGAGAAGAACACACAAAACAGUGGAGACCCACAACAUACCGAGUCCUCAUUGUUUUAGUAAAAAAUAUUUUUGAUAUUUGGCUGUUAGCAUAGCCCCUUUAGGCUAUUAGCACAACUCUGAUGUUGGCCGAUGGUAGCUAGAGCUAGCCACAUGCUAACCUGAGUACUAACAUUACUAAAGUUACUAGCAGCAGUAGCAAUACAUCCAGGUAAAUGGCUACCAUGAUAUACUGCAAGUAGGAUGGAGCCUCCAUCCUACUAAACUACACUGCCGCAGGUACAGCCUCCAUCCUACUAAACUACACUGCCGCAGGUACAGAUCUAUACAGCCUCCAUCCUAGCAGGUACAGAUCCAUACAGCCUCCAUCCUACUAAACUACACUGCAGCAGGUACAGAUCCAUACAGCCUCCAUCCUACUAAACUACACUGCAGCAGGUACAGAUCCAUACAGCCUCCAUCCUACUAAACUACACUGCAGCAGGUACAGAUCCAUACAGCCUCCAUCCUACUAAACUACACUGCAGCAGGUACAGAUCCAUACAGCCUCCAUCCUACUAAACUACACUGCAGCAGGUACAGAUCCAUACAGCCUCCAUCCUACUAAACUACACUGCCGCAGGUACAGAUCCAUACAGCCUCCAUCCUACUAAACUACACUGCAGCAGGUACAGAUCCAUACAGCCUCCAUCCUACUAAA